This 10346-nucleotide long non-coding RNA is filed under the name Homo sapiens (human). Its description in RNAcentral is "HSALNT0047119". Lineage: Eukaryota; Metazoa; Chordata; Mammalia; Primates; Hominidae. The record is from RNAcentral.
GGAAAAUGUGGCCUCCUGGGACUGUCAGUGGUGUGGUCCCCACAUCCUUAGUUGUACACAUAACAUGCUUACCGUGUGCUUGCUUUGAGUCCCUUCUGAGCUCCCAUGCAAUGUAGACUCAUCGGAAUCCCGUGCUCAUGGGAUUUUAUGAACACUAUAUGCAAAUAGGACAGCAAGAAAUGGCAGUAAACGCUUUUAUUGUUGCUAUCUCCUCUGCUCCUGCACAUGCUCCAUGGUAUCGUUGGACUUCACUUACAAAACACAGAUACAAAGACAAAAUUACUAAGAAUUACCAAGAAUUUUAAUUUCAAGAUGGCAACAGAGUAUUAAACCAAAGAUGAAGUCGUUCUGAGUGUGGGGUUUGCGAGAUGGCACAGGUGGCACUCCCAGGAGCUCGUCUUGGCCAGGUCGCACCCUUGAGUCCAUUGGAACCUGAAUCUCACCCUGCUCUGCUAUGCUAUACUGACUCCAGCUGAAUUCAAGGAGUUACAGUUUGAAACUCUCCAGACUCCAGUGGCCAUCCCACUUGUGAUCACUUGCUCUGAGGGAGGACAUCUGCUGUAUCAUGAGGACGCAAAACCAUCCCAUGGAGGGUGCUACAUGCAGAGCAGCUGAGGCCUCCUGCUAGUUGUCAGUGAGGAACCGAGGCUUCUUGCCAAUGGCCAUUCAGGAAAAUCUUGCUUCUCAAACUCCUGUCUUGACCCCUUCCUGAACUUUGCCUCCUGGAUCUUGAGGUCUGCCUUCUGUGGAAGAGAAAUACUAGAAUCAAUGAACUGUGAACUAGAGCCCUGGGAUUAUCAACAGCCAGCUGAAAUUUUGAGAGCCACCUUAUAGAAAGCCUAACAGCAAAGACUGGAGAGAGGCUUCCAGCCAACAGCCAGCAAGGAAUUGAAGCCCUCAGUCCAAUAGCAGUGAGGAAUUGAAUCCUGCCAACAGCCUCGUGGAUGGGUUGCUUGCUGCCUGAAUCUAACUCCUGCUACUACUGCAAAUACCACUGCCAUGAAUAUCCUCAGCAAGACCCCCUUCCAGACCUGCAUGAACAGUUGUGUGAAAUACCGACUGCUUCAUGCUGGGCUUCAGACAUGAGAGGCUAGGAGUAGGAGGCAUGCCUUGUUCAAAGGUCUUAAAUGUGGGAAAUAGUCUACAGUUUGGAAGACACCAGAGAAAAAUGCUCCACAGCUCGCCCUGGUGACUCACUACAACUUAUGGGAAGAUGUGAGAUUAUUCUGUAUUCUAAUGUAUGUUAGAAGGCACACUCCACCCAAAGCCUUCCUGUGUGUUCCUCCCUGUGAGCUCACAUCCCGUUCACCAGCUGACUGGGAAGGGAAGUCAGGACCAGCCCUGACCCCAUCACACCAUCAUAACCUCGGGAUGGCAGGGCUGGAAGGCACCUCAGACGUCAUCCUUUGCAGACUCUUCAUUUUACAGUGAGAGGCAUGACGUGUCCACAGCUGGUUAGUGCCAAAGCCUGGGACAGGCUUCACAUUGUCCAGCUCUUAGUCAGAGCACUGUUGACAAUGUCUGCCUUCACUUGGAAUUCAGCACCUGCUUUCAGUAUAAACCCCUGCAUUUCACUAAAACUGAGCAGACUGCUGGUUUAAAAAAGAGAGGUCCAUCCAGCAGGGAUGAUGCUUUUCCUCGUUGAAAGAGGACAUUCACCUAAUGGGAGACCUGGAGUCAGAAUCUUUCUGAUGUGUGACUUGGCACAGUAACACAAUGCAGGAUGCUGGUGUGUUAAUAAAAAUAAAAAUUGCAUCGCCUACCUCAGAGUCGACAACAAUGUCAAGGAGUUAAUAGUCUUGGCAACACAGAGGCCACUGGACAGAGGCAUAACCUUGCGUGGCAGCUGCACGGGAAUUGGAUUUGGCUCAGGUGUUUCAGAUGACUAAGAACAAAGGGGACCACUCUUGGUAUAGAAGUUCAUCUCGUCGGGAGCAUCUGUGGUUCUUUUAUAAGCAAUGUACAUUCUACAAUAGAGGCAGACCCAGAAAUAAUUCAGAUAUUGGAGUUAGAAGAUCAGGAUUCUAAAAAAACCAAAAGAUCCUGCCUUACUAUGCACCUAUGGCCCUUCAAAGGCGAGAGUAGAAUCUGCUAUGAUUUAGAAGCAAGCAAUAAAAAGUACACAUCAGAAUUGGAGCCUGCACAGAUGUAGAAGGAGGCAUGAAGAGGGUAUUGGAGGAUUGCCCACUAUGCAGUCUGCAUCCUGAGUCUGUGGUGAGGCUGGACACGUUCAAGCUUACAGGAGAACUGGAGAAAGCAAGCAACACAGCGGUGGAAGUGAGACCACUGAAGCAGGGACAAGAGUGGAGGAGACAAACUGGACUCGGAACAAACUGGGAGCCUCUGCAUCCAUCCGUAACUGUCUGGCCGUGACAGUGGUUAGAGAGGAGUGGCUUCUGUGAAACUCUCACAAUCUCAAAUCUCCCACAAGUGCCUCUUUCAGCUAACUCUAAACUGGUACCAUAGAGGAAAUGGAUUCUGAAAACUUGGUCUCCAACCUUAGACAAAUUGAAUAAUUAAUAUGUCCUCUCCUGCUUCUUCUGUAACUGAAUUUGCAUUGGGAAGCAGGCCUGUCACUCUCAGACUUUGUGGUUUGAGUAGGGCUCACUUCAGCACCACCUUUUCCUCUUCUCAGCCCCACGGACUGGCAUGAGACUCAGGCCUGGCCAACUGAAUGUCACACACCUAUGACCAUCAGUUGGCUCAGAGAUGGACUCAGGACACCAUCACAGCCAAUGAAACCCUGUUAGGGAAAUUUGUCAGAACCAUACAAAGAAAUAGCUCCACUUUUCCAUAGAGAUGAGACAUAAGCCUGGACUAACUGGUGUCCAAUUUGCCAUCAAGAGAGCAUCUGAGAAGACAGAGGAAAACUGGGGAAAGCGAAGUCUAAGGAAGGUGAGUAAGGACAAGUCCAGUUGAUAUUACAUGAAUCACCUGGACCUGGAAAUCAAGGCAUUGCUGGAUUCAAGGCCAAGAAAAAUUGGAAGCUGGCUUGAAUCAGGUUCUAUCACUUGCAGUUGAAAAGGUCCAGACUAAUAUGAUAACAAAGGAGCAAGUAAGCAAGAUUCUGCCCUACAGUAAGUGCUCAAUGCAUGUCAGCUGGUAUUAUUAUUAUACAGACUUCUAUUUCUAGCCCUUUUAUUUCUACCACCUCUCUUCUGUGUUUUAUGUAAAGUGCAUAAGGAUUGUUCUGUUUGGAAACAUCAAACCAUAUAAAAUGACACCAGCAGGUCCCUUUCUGUCUGUCAGUGUCCACAAGCUCAACAACCAGGAUCAGCAGACAAAAACAGCUAAGCUGGAGUCAGUGUUUUUAUGAAGAAACAGGAAAAGAACUUACUUGGGAACUGUAGCUCAUCCUCCAAUAUUCUCCAUCCUAUCACUCUUUUCAUGACAGUUUCUUCUUGGCCCUGAAGUUGCCUUGUCAUGGCUCCCUGCCUCUGUCCUUUCUCUGUCUCACUUACAUCUUCCAAUGAGGAAUACAGCAAGACCUUUGGAUGAGGACCUCCAAAGGUCCUCAGUAUCCUUAGGACACUCGGUGCAGAACUAGAGGGACUGAGAGGAGGAGCUUUUGCAGGUUAAAUGACUAGUGAAUGGCCUUUCCUUAUAUUUCCAUUAGAAAUGGGAUUAGCUACACCUGAGAAGGAAUGACUUUGGAACAACUGAUCCCUAGCUUUCCAAAAUAUGAGAAAUUGAGAUGCAGGGAGUAGUAAGCACCUAGUUAAUGAGUCAAAGCAUAUUUAUAAAGUUCACAGGGUACAUAGCAUAUAGCAGCUGUUCUCUAUCUCAGUUGAGUUUUGACUAGGAAAUGGGCUUAGGAUAAAACACAUAGGCUUUUGAGUAAUCAUUUGUAAGAAAUUGUAGAUAGUGACCACAGUUUAAUAGCAUUAGAUAAAUUAUGAAAAGUCACUGAAAUACCUUCUCUGGAAAAUGUUAGAAGCUCAAGUACAAUGGCUUAGUUAAAGGCAGGUGGGGGAGAAACUUGAAGAAUGUGGUCCAGUACAAGAAUACCCCAUUUUUCCCCUAAGGCAAUGAAAAUGACAUGAAGUAAUCAUAGUUAUUUAUACAGGAACAAUUUAGGAGACUUAGAAUAUUCACUUCUUUUGCCUUCUAGCUGAGCAUCAAAAUUCUCUCUCUGUCUCUGCCUCUCUCUCUCUAUUUUCCACUUCUAGCUCCAACUAUUUUAAAUCCCUCCCCCAAUAGAACUCAUAACAAACAUAAAACAACAUUUGUUGUAUGUUUACAAUAGAUGUUCAAGCUAAUAUUUAUGUAGGCUUAGCCCUGGCAUUAAAUUAAGGUUUGGUUCACCAACAGGGUGCCUAGAGACUUCACCUCUAUUUCCAUGAGGGACUGAACAGCCUCUUGAGAAGGGACUCAUCAAAAUGGAAGAGUUGGCAAUAAGAAGUUUGGCUAAAUAACCAAGCACUGAAGUUGCAGAGGAGAAAGGAUUUGAAAGGCAGUACAGUGUCCAGGGGCAAGUUGGCAAUUUUUAGCAGGAGGUGAAGUGAUGCCAGCAGAGGUAACAGUGCUCAGAGGGACCAGUAGUCCCCAGGAGGAGCAGGGGAAUCCCCAGUGGAUCUGAUUUGUUCAAGAGCACAUGUGAGAUUAUCAGCUGGCGUUACAAUUUUGGAGUGGCAGUGAGAAGCAGUGAAUUUGAGGUCACUCAAUUUGCAGACCCCAAAGGGUGAAAUGUUGAGAAACAUGAGUUACACAUGUAUUUAACAGCUCUUGUGUAUUAUCACAAAUCCUAUUUCACCUCUCAUGCCCCCGAGGCUUUGGUGUCCAGUUCUCUGAAGACUUCAUCAAUCCUCAGCCAUAAAUCACCUGAGAGCAACUCACCUUGCUUCAUACUAUGAAGCUCCCUGAUGUCACAGCAUGGCAGGCCUGUGGCAACCCCUCAACACUUAUGCAUGAUCCCAAACAGCUAGAGGAUUAACACCUACGGUGUAACCCUUGACCAGCAGGAAAUGGAAAUUACUGUCUUUUUGUCCCCGCAGGUGAAUGGUUCUAAAAUGCAUUUUAUAAGCCUUCUGAAAUAGUCCCACAGGUCAAGCACCUACUUGCUCCAGUGGUGACCAACUCAAUGAUGCAUCCUUGGGUUGACUCUCCCUCCUUUCCAGUUCACUUUCCCCGCCCCUCACUCCUGCACCUCAGCAUCACAUUCCUGAAUAAACCACUCACACAUCUGUCUUAUUUCAGACUCUGUUUGGGGGAAUCCACAAUAAAAAUUUGUCAUUUUGAGUUAAACAUUGCUCUCACCUUGAAGACAUAUUUCCAUACCUAGAGAUUUCUGAAGUUCUCUCCCUUUUCCUAUCAUCUCCUUUGUGCUUUGUCUGACCUCCAUGUUACAGAGCCCCAUGAUAUUUAGAGCCAGUACUGCUAGGGAAGUAGUUCAGUUGUGUUUUAAAUGGUUCAGCAACUUGUAACAUCAACUGAGAACCAGAGGAAUACACUUGGAGGCCAAGAAAAAAAUGUUAGCUAAUAUGUACCAUACAGUAUGAUUCCUUGGGUAAGGGAAAGUAUAUGCAAGUGACAGAGGAAAAUUGAAAGUUGUAGCCCUUUUUUGGACUUUAGAUUUGGAAUUAAAGUUUCUCUUCUCUUGAAAGACCUUCUUUUUGUGGAUAAUGAUGAAUCUGAAGACCAGAACAGUGGGCCAAUUUGCCUUAGUUGAGAGUGGCAAAUAAAUGAAGAACUGAAGAACGUAUCUCUUUAACUAGUGCUCCUUUGUUGAGAAGAUACAAAACAAACAAUUGAAGGGUAUGGAUGAAGCCAUUGGCUUAUUCAUGUCUCUGUUGAUCAUAAUGAGAUUAAUAUAUAUAGGACAUUCACACAAAGAGGAUAUUGACUCGAUGGCUUACAGAUUAUUAGAGUUAGAAAUGUGACCUACUACUAAAGGAAGAAUGUUUCAGGUGUGGAUCUCUGAUUUAAAAAAUACACCACACUUGCCUCAGUGAAGCAAGUCAACUUAGGUGCUGAUACAAUGCCACUGCAGCUGUGCUGAGUUCAUGAAAUCAGAUCCCACUCUCUUCACCUACCCCUACCGUAUUCAUCCUACUUUCCGUCUGCUCUGCCCUUCCCAUUUGGUAACCUAGUCAUGAAACACCUGGCUCUGGGUCCUUCCUUCAGCAUCACUCCACGUUGUACUGCUGGCAUCGCUUUUCUUGGCACAGAACCUCUUAGGGCUGCUAUCCUAGGAGUAGGUGCUACUCAGGCUGGCUUAGUCCCAGGCUUCACUCACUUCUUGGCCCAUGGCCAGGAGGACCGGAAAGAACAAACUCUCUGCACAUCUCUGCAGGUGGCCACAGAGCCCCCAUCUGAGCCUUGCUGAUGGAGAAGAGCAUGCUGCAUCACAAGAUAACUGUGUGGCUCUGUUCAAAAACCUUGUUUAGAAGUUAUUAUUUCUUUUAUUGCAUUAGAAUUUGCCUCACUGUAGCUUUUGUGCUUCUGUCCUGGUUCAGCCUUAGAUAGCAGUGCAGCCUGGUCCAUGUGAAAGCUCUUGCAAUAGGCCUUUCUGCUAGUCAGGAGUUCUCAGACCCAUCCCUACUCUUCACUUUUCUCAAGACUAAUAUCAGACUCCUGGGCUCUUCAAGGUUUCCUCAUAUGAUAAAAGUUCUAAGCCCUCCAUUGUCCUAGUCACUGUCCUCUCUGUUCCAUCCCUGUCUGCCCUUCCAAGAUGCUGCACCUGGAGAUGAAUUUGUCCUUCCUGGGGCAAGUCACCAUGAGAUGAUUACUUUUGGAUCAUACUGAAUUUGUGGGUUAAAUAAACUCAUAGGUCUUUAUCUCAUGCACUAAAUCCAAAUUCGAUCUCUUGCCGUAAAUCAUUUUUUUGAAUAGCUGAACAAUAAGUAAAUAAUACACAAAUGAAAACUAAUCAAUAUUUGAACAUCCUCAGUAUUUUCAGCCCUAGUUUGAGCCAGACAUAGCUCAUCUUGUAUACUUCACUAAGGACACUUUAUACGAUCAAGCAAUUAAUAUUAUGAUGUCAUGUCUCGCAAGCCCCAUAGUGUCACUUCCAGUCUCUUCACCACAAAGAACGUUGAAGCCUUCGUAUUUUUUUGAAAAUCAUAUUUCUAGCUGCAGGAUGGGAUGUAAGAAAAGUUCAGAUUAGGAUUAUUCUAGGCUCCUGACUAUAACUAAAAUCCUGAUUUUUUAUGGAAAGGAAUGAGGAUCAUUCCUUCAAAUUAGAUUUUUGUGAUAAAAAGAAAAAAGUUGGUAAUCUAUUCAAAAUUGUAACAAAAAUAACUGCAUUUUUCUUUGGAAAAUAAUAGUUGAUUCCUUUUUGCUUUUUUUACUUAUGAAUUGGGGUGCAAUAGAGUUUAAUAAAAAUGAUGUGAAACACUCUUAUAAGGCUAAUUUAUCACAUUUGCUUCAAGGAAUUGUCCUUUCUAACAAAAUUGUGAAAUGGAACUGAACAGUAGCAUGAUGAGGCCUCUACCAGGAGGAGGUACAGAACAAGGCAGGAGGUCAGUGGUUAAAGGACUCCUUGCUUAUGCUCAAGAAAUGUGGACCUUAUUAGAGGUGACACAGUGAAAUCAGUCACCUGAUUUCGCAGGUGACUGUGGAGCAAGAAUGCAAAUCCACAAUAUUAGGAUGAAUGUGAGAGGAGAAGGGAAGGAGGCCAUGAGGGAAAAAAGGACAUCUAAUUGGGUCUGAAAGGAAGGGUAGAAUUUAAGUAAAGAGCACUGUGUACAUAUGGGAAUACCAUGUACUUUCUCAUGGAGAGAGGCCUUCUGACAGUCCUGCAUUGAUCCUGCUUCUUUGACCAUCCCUUGUUAGCCAGCAGGUCAUUUGGCCUCACUAGUUGCCUCAGUGCUGAGUGAUAGACUCAGCAGUCCCCAGCCUCUUUGGCACCAGGGACUGGUUUUGUGGAAGAUAAUUUUUCCAUGGAUCAGGGAGAGGAUGGUUUCAGGAGGAUUUAAGUGCAUUACAUUUACUGCGCACUUUAUUUCUAAUAUUAUUACAUUGUAAUCUAUAAUGAAAUAAUUAUACAAUUCACCAUAAUGUAGAAUCAGUGGGUGCCCUGAGCUUGUUUUCCUGCAACUAGAUGGUCCCAUCUGGGGGUGAUGGGAGACAGUGACAGAUCAUCAGGCAUUAGAUUCUCAUAAGGAAUGCACAACCUAGAUUCUUCACAUGUGCAGUUCACCAUGAGGUUCACGCUCCUAUGAGAAGCUAAUGCCUCCGCUUAAACGACACAGGAGAUGGAGCUCAGGUAGUAAUGAGUGAAAUGGGGAGCAGCUGUCAAUACAGAUGAAGCUUUGCUUGCUUGCUUGCCGCUCACCACCUGCUGUGCAGCCUGGUUCCUAACUGGUACUGGUCAGUGGCCUGUGGUUGGGAACUCCUGGUAGACUAACAACAGAACAAAGCCAAGUCUCAAGGAGAGACAGUUGUAUAGAUGCCUUCCUGCCCAUUCUCUGUUGUGGGGGCCAAAUCACACAAGACCUGCAUUUAAUUCUUUAUGGGCUUAGGCUGUGAAUUAAUGUAAAAUCUCAAGAAACCAAGAUGACAGGCCAGGGACUAAAGAGCAAAAGAAAGACCACAGCUAUGGUGGGCGAGGAGACAAAGUCAAUCCCACCGGGACAGAUGGUGAUGACCCUUAUCAGUUCUAUUCUGUCAUCUCAUAAAGGUAAAGACUUGUGUUCUUUUUCUUAGGACAGUCCAGAUGGUAUUGGCUGUGCUUAAAGAAAAUUCAGACAUGUGUGAGUGUGGCUGGAAUUGACAUUCAUGAGGUCUUCCGUUUUUAUUUGAAAGGGGCAGAGUAAGUAUUUGUGAACAUUGGAUGGUGAUGAAGAAAAGGAAAUGGUGUCUAGUAUCCUACCUGGCCUCAUGGACCAAGACUAGAAGGAUUAGAGGCAAAGUCGAAGGAAGCUGCCACCAUAAAGGGUUCUGUGAAUGCUGUUUGGCUGAAAUGUGUGACAAAGCACUGGGAAGGGUUUCAUUGCAUUAGCUCAGGCCAUAGCACGACCCUUAACCAACACCUUAAGGUGAUGGUCCCCUUGGCAUAAAUAUUGGUGUUAAAAUCGAGGUUAACCUUAGUGAUAGUAUGGUUAAGAGUCCCCUGCAUGACUUUGGAAGUUGAAGAUGCUGAUCAGGAGAACUAGAGCAGGAAAGAGAAAAUAUGACUGAGGCUAAGUGGUGACUUGGUAUUGACUGAUAGGUGAACACAGGAAUGAAUUUCAGCGAGAACCCCCAGUAACUGUCUGGGGAGUGGAGACUGUGUAUGAACAGGACAGAAAAAAAAGCAGAUUCGGGUAGUGUCCUGUCGUGUGUCUCUUUUACAGUCCUGAAAUGAAGGACUUUCAGUGUUUUCAUUGAGCACCAAUCAAUUCCCUCUUUACAAAAGACCAUAUUGGAACAGCAUCAAGGUUUAGGGAUAUUAAAGCAAUACAGUGACACUGGAAUGACCACUGAGAACCAGCGAACUUCUUCAGCCCUUAUAUCCUCAGGCACUCUGGAAGCCAUGAAUCUGGUUUUCUUGCUAAACUGUGUGUACUGCACAGAGUACAAUGGUAAAGGAACAAAUAUUGGCUCUAAAAUCUCUUGUAAAGGGAAGGGUGGUCAUCCCUUUAGAUGGCAAAUUGAGUUUCUGUAAUGGGGUUUGCUCUGAUGUUGCAUUUCCACUCAGGCAUCAAGACAUUCUGUUGUUUAAAGCCCUAGAUGGGUGAUAUUUCUUUCAUGUGCAAGGCCCGAAUGCUUCACUGAGCUCUCUCUUACCCACACACACUCAUUUAAACCUUGGUCAAAAUUAUCCUUUAGCAUCUGCAUCUUCUCAGAAGGCGGAAGGGUCAAUGGGGAUAAUCAGGAGAGAUGAGGUGCACUUUCAGAAGUUGGAGCUGAGAAGGUGAUGGAAGUAUCUGUAAAGUCGUUGAACAGCUGCACGAACUAUAGGGGAAGCAUUUCUGGAGGCAAAAGGGGAAUAGCCCUUUCCUCUUAAACCAAAGCGAGCACAGCUCCAAAGGCACUUAGAUGGAGAGUUCAUCGGAAUGUGAGCUCUAAGAGUGGCUGAGAAUCUGACAAAAACAGCCAUCUGCCAACCCAAAAUUAAAACUCCUCUGUUUAGCACCCAGUAGAGAAAGUCAACCAGAUUGACUUCGCAAACAAAGGACCUUAAAAGCAUCACCUAAGAAAGUGUGUCAGGAUCCACAGACAUCCAGAGCAUUCUCUAUGGUUCAUUACUUACAUUAUUCUUAUCUAUUUACACAUAAUGUUUAGAUGUAAAAUCCUUACAAUGAAAAGGGUGUAUAUGCUUUAAAAAAGGCACAACAGGGAUCUAGAACUAGAAAUACCAUUUGACCCAGCCAUCCCAUUACUGGGUAUAUACCCAAAUGAGUAUAAAUCAUGCUGCUAUAAAG